GUGUGAUAAGGUUAAUGAUUAUCAAACGGACCAUCGCACGGGCCUUAUUAACGUAAACACAGGUUCACAAGUGGCCAAACCUGAGCAGAUGUAAUUAUUCGCUGUAUCACCUCAGAUCCCGCUAGUUCAGAUUCAAAUAUCAUUGAAGAAGCUUUCUGGCCUAAAUGACCUGAAGAAUGUAGUACUUCUCGGGAAAAUACAUGGAAUCCAGGCAGUGCUGCGGUAGGAGCAGAAUCAGCCAACCAGCACCAUGCUAACAUCUCAGCAAAGAUGGCUUCAAAAGUCUGGAGAUAUGGACGUUAUAGGAUGGAGGACAACUGUCUGAUGAAACGCUUAAUCAGCACCUCAAGAGGUUCUUCAUCCUCCUCAAGACUUCUGCAAAGCAAAACGAAGGAGCAGAUCUUUAUUGUUGUAGGGAAAAUAUCAAUAAUUGAUUCCUUUUGUCAUUAUACGUAGUGGUUUGUUAUGAAAAUGUAUUGUUGAAACUAGAAAUAUUGUUUUAAAGUAUUAAUGUAAGAACAAUGUUUUACAUGACCUUAAUAUGUUUUGUUUGUUUGUUUCUGCUCUA
Molecule: long non-coding RNA, 568 nt
Organism: Limulus polyphemus (Atlantic horseshoe crab)
Lineage: Eukaryota; Metazoa; Arthropoda; Merostomata; Xiphosura; Limulidae
Exons: 4
Source: RefSeq, a predicted model, not a curated record